AUUGAACGCUGGCGGCAGGCCUAACACCUGCAAGUCGAGCGUGCGGCGGACUGGUGACUAAUGUAUGGGGACUGCCCGAUAGAGGGGGCUAACUACUGGACACGGUGGCUAAUACCGCAUCCUAUCGGAUAACCCAUAUGGGAUUAGCUAGUAGGUGGGGUAAAGGCUCACCUAGGCGACGAUCUCUAGCUGGUCUGAGCGGAUGAUCAGCCACACUGGGACGGAGACACGGCCCAGACUACUACGGAGGCAGCAGUGGGGAAUAUUGCGCAAUGGGGGCAACACUGACGCAGCCAUGCCGCGUGAAUGAAGAAGGCGUUCGGGUUGUAAAGUUAUGUCGGUAGCGAGGCGUUAACUACAGAAGAAGCACCGGCUAACUCCGUGCCAGCAGCCGCGGUAAUUC
RNAcentral lists this ribosomal RNA (403 nucleotides) under uncultured bacterium. RNAcentral describes it as "partial 16S ribosomal RNA". It matches the Rfam family "Bacterial small subunit ribosomal RNA", at positions 30 to 526 of the family's 1533-position model. The record is from RNAcentral.